RNAcentral lists this unclassified non-coding RNA (622 nucleotides) under Hevea brasiliensis (rubber tree). Lineage: Eukaryota; Viridiplantae; Streptophyta; Magnoliopsida; Malpighiales; Euphorbiaceae. The record is from RNAcentral.
GGAAAGCUCAUUUGUAUUGCCUAUUAUGUUAGCCCUAUAUGUUUAAAUAAUUUCUUGAUAUAAGAAGCAGAUCUAGUCUUAAUUUCUGAUGUUGGAAUGCUCAGAAGCAAGGGUGUGUUAUUGGAAAGCAGAGAUUUGGUAUUGAAAUUAUUAUAUUGGAUCGAUUUGCUCCUUUGAUUUACAUUGGGUGCACUUCGGAUGCCUUUCUGACAACAAAUUCUCUAUUCAUUCAAGAUAAUUUAAUAGUUUUUUUAGUUCUUUUGGUAGUAAAUGAAACCUACAAAUUCAUUGCCAAGGAAACUGAUAAAUUUAUUCUUUUGGGAGUUCGUUUCCAAAAAUGAGGCUGGCUGAUUUACCUCUCCCGAGCCUUAUAAUGCUCCUAUAAUUCUACUUGAUUAGGGUAUCUUUUUCUACCUUGUACAUUAGCUCUUCCAAUGCCAUUGAUAUUUGAUUUUCCAUCCCAUCCUCAACUUUUUCUGUUGCUCCCUGAAUUUUGUGAUAUAGUUUUGUGGCUCCAGGUCUUAUUGGUAAAUAUAUUCUGUAUCCAAUUGGUUAUGGUAAACACAGAAAAAUGCAUCCAAGCAGAUUGAUGAUUCUCUCAUAUCUGGUGAUAUGCUUGACA